RNAcentral lists this small RNA (103 nucleotides) under Neisseria animaloris. Its description in RNAcentral is "AniS". It matches the Rfam family "AniS". Lineage: Bacteria; Pseudomonadati; Pseudomonadota; Betaproteobacteria; Neisseriales; Neisseriaceae. The record is from Rfam by way of RNAcentral.
AUAAAAACCCUGAAAACUGAUUUAUUUUUUAUUUUCAUUGUUUUAUCUCUUUCCUCUUGAUGUGUGUGUGUUUGGGUGUGGCCGUGUGCCACCCCCUUUUUUU